RNAcentral lists this ribosomal RNA (434 nucleotides) under uncultured Brevundimonas sp. Its description in RNAcentral is "bacterial SSU rRNA". It matches the Rfam family "Bacterial small subunit ribosomal RNA", at positions 341 to 792 of the family's 1533-position model. The record is from RNAcentral. Lineage: Bacteria; Pseudomonadati; Pseudomonadota; Alphaproteobacteria; Caulobacterales; Caulobacteraceae. RNAcentral also lists the same sequence under 1 other name.
ACGGGAGGCAGCAGUGGGGAAUCUUGCGCAAUGGGCGAAAGCCUGACGCAGCCAUGCCGCGUGAAUGAUGAAGGUCUUAGGAUUGUAAAAUUCUUUCACCGGGGACGAUAAUGACGGUACCCGGAGAAGAAGCCCCGGCUAACUUCGUGCCAGCAGCCGCGGUAAUACGAAGGGGGCUAGCGUUGCUCGGAAUUACUGGGCGUAAAGGGAGCGUAGGCGGACAUUUAAGUCAGGGGUGAAAUCCCGGGGCUCAACCUCGGAAUUGCCUUUGAUACUGGGUGUCUUGAGUAUGAGAGAGGUGUGUGGAACUCCGAGUGUAGAGGUGAAAUUCGUAGAUAUUCGGAAGAACACCAGUGGCGAAGGCGACACACUGGCUCAUUACUGACGCUGAGGCUCGAAAGCGUGGGGAGCAAACAGGAUUAGAUACCCUGGUA